AUCUUAAAGAUUCUCAUUGAUUUUUGCAAUCGUAACUGAUCAUCAACAUUAAUCUACAAAUAAUCAACAAUUGAUAUGGAGUAAUCUUCUCCGAUUGAUUAAUUGAUAUAAGUCCAUUAUGUUCUCUCAGUUUCCUUUCCUUAUGUCUUCUCUUUCUCUCUUUCUCUCAUCAAGCCCUAAUGUUUGCACUGAAUUUCAAUUCCCAAACCUUUGGUCUUUUUCUCGCCAAUCCCGAAUGAAUGCUAAUCUGCAUCCGCCACGAUCACCACCACCAUAGGAAUGAAUGCUAAUUUCUAAACAUUCGGUCUUCCUCUCACCAAUCUCUAUCCCUCUCCUUGUCUCUCUGUCUCUCUCAAGAGUUGAUGAUUUGAUCUGAUGAAUACGAUAUCCUCAAUAUCUUCCCGAAAGUUGAUCAUUCUAAGGUUGAAGCUGAAGUGAUUAAGCAACAGGAAACAAAAAAGGGAUUAUCUAUAGAAAGUGAAGCUCAAGAUAAGGGAUUAAGCUUGCUGCGUAUGCGAGAGGACCUGCAAAAAGCAAUUGAGAAUGAAAACUAUUCAUGGGCAGCUGAAUUACAUGACCAAAGUUCAAAAGAUUAAGCUCAUUCAUUGGCUGCAUCGCCAAGCUUUCCAAAAUGCUCAAUUUGUAAAUUUCUUUUAGUCCAUAAAGUCAGGCACAAUAAGUUUGGACACAAAGUUGUGGUUUGUGGAAUGGAUCGUGUAUGCUGUGAAACAAGGUCGUGGACGGAAAAUGCAAAUAUUAACCAGUUGACUCGUGUUCCUGGUCAACCAUAUUAUUAGGUAGCGAAAUCAAACGCCCCAUUUUAUAUAUUUUGUAUAAUUAAGUACAAGAUAACAAAGUUUGGAAGUUUGGCAUUAAAAAAAGUUAAAGAAUUGAAUUCAUAUAAUAAUGCAAAUAUGUUGUAUUUCGCUUAACAGAUGAAAUAAAAUAGACAAAACUUCAAAAAUGGUCCCUUUGGUUUCCAAAAAUAUCAAGUUUAGUCUCCAAGUUUAAAAAACCUCACAGAUGGUCCCUGUGGUUUCAAAACUUUUAACAAAUGGUUAUUUUGCCUAACUCCGUCAGCUUUCUACCGUUAAGUGAGGGGCAUUUUCGUCAUUUCAAUAUACAGGGACCAUUUAUGAGGUUUUCUCUAUUUAAAAAAAAAGAAAAAAAUAUAAUUAUUUAAAUAAAGGGACCCUCUCUCUCCCUCUCUCUCUCUCUCUCUCUCUCUCUCUCUCUCCAUAUGCAUUGUGCACUGAUCCUCCUUAGCCUCAUUCUCUCUUCUCUCUUCUUCAUCGUCUUCAUGGCUCUCCCAUAUCAUCUUUCUCUCUCUGAUAAUCACUAGCAAUAUCAUCCUCCACAAGUGCUCAAAUUCCUUCACCCUUUCACAGAUUAUUAAACCAUACCCCUUUCCCCCCUCCCCAAUCGGUGGAUUUAAGAUCUACAGAAAAAGAA
This is a non-coding RNA of Lactuca sativa (garden lettuce), 1452 nucleotides long. NCBI's taxonomy places the organism in Eukaryota, Viridiplantae, Streptophyta, Magnoliopsida, Asterales, Asteraceae. The record is from RefSeq and is a predicted model, not a curated record.